GGAUUCCCCUAGUAACUGCGAGUGAAGCGGGAAGAGCUCAAAUUUAAAAUCUGGCGGCCUCUGGUCGUCCGAGUUGUAGUCUGGAGAAGCGUUUUCCGUGUUGGACCGUGUAUAAGUCUCUUGGAACAGGGCGUCAUAGAGGGUGAGAAUCCCGUCUUUGACACGGACUACCAAUGCUUUGUGAUGCGCUCUCAAAGAGUCGAGUUGUUUGGGAAUGCAGCUCAAAACGGGUGGUAAAUUCCAUCUAAAGCUAAAUAUAGGCGAGAGACCGAUAGCGAACAAGUACCGUGAGGGAAAGAUGAAAAGCACUUUGGAAAGAGAGUUAAACAGUACGUGAAAUUGCUGAAAGGGAAACGCCUGAAGUCAGUCGCGUCUGCCAGGACUCAGCCUCGCUUCUGCUUGGUGCACUUUCUGGUUGGAUGGGCCAACAUCAAUUUUGACCGUUGGAGAAAGGCUUUGGGAAUGUGGCACCUUCGGGUGUGUUAUAGCCCUUUGUCGCAUACGACGGUUGGGAUUGAGGACCGCAGCACGCCUUCAUGGCCGGGGUUCGCCCACGUACGUGCUUAGGAUGUUGGCAUAAUGGCUUUAAGCGACCCGU
RNAcentral lists this ribosomal RNA (598 nucleotides) under uncultured Tomentella. RNAcentral describes it as "eukaryotic LSU rRNA". It matches the Rfam family "Eukaryotic large subunit ribosomal RNA", at positions 72 to 652 of the family's 3401-position model. Lineage: Eukaryota; Fungi; Basidiomycota; Agaricomycetes; Thelephorales; Thelephoraceae. The record is from RNAcentral.